This 697-nucleotide ribosomal RNA is filed under the name uncultured bacterium. RNAcentral describes it as "bacterial SSU rRNA". It matches the Rfam family "Bacterial small subunit ribosomal RNA", at positions 48 to 762 of the family's 1533-position model. The record is from RNAcentral.
UUAACACAUGCAAGUCGAGCGGUAAGGCCCUUCGGGGUACACGAGCGGCGAACGGGUGAGUAACACGUGGGUGAUCUGCCCUGCACUUCGGGAUAAGCCUGGGAAACUGGGUCUAAUACCGGAUAUGACCAAAGGCUGCAUGGUUUUUGGUGGAAAGGUUUACUGGUGCAGGAUGGGCCCGCGGCCUAUCAGCUUGUUGGUGGGGUAAUGGCCUACCAAGGCGACGACGGGUAGCCGACCUGAGAGGGUGACCGGCCACACUGGGACUGAGACACGGCCCAGACUCCUACGGGAGGCAGCAGUGGGGAAUAUUGCACAAUGGGCGAAAGCCUGAUGCAGCGACGCCGCGUGAGGGAUGACGGCCUUCGGGUUGUAAACCUCUUUCAGCAGGGACGAAGCGAAAGUGACGGUACCUGCAGAAGAAGCACCGGCCAACUACGUGCCAGCAGCCACGGUAAUACGUAGGGUGCAAGCGUUGUCCGGAAUUACUGGGCGUAAAGAGCUCGUAGGCGGUUUGUCGCGUCGUCUGUGAAAACUCGAGGCUCAACCUCGAGCUUGCAGGCGAUACGGGCAGACUUGAGUACUGCAGGGGAGACUGGAAUUCCUGGUGUAGCGGUGAAAUGCGCAGAUGUCAGGAGGAACACCGGUGGCGAAGGCGGGUCUCUGGGCAGUAACUGACGCUGAGGAGCGAAAGCGU